GAUGAAGAACGUAGCGAAAUGCGAUAAGUAAUGUGAAUUGCAGAAUUCAGUGAAUCAUCGAAUCUUUGAACGCACAUUGCGCCCGCCAGUAUUCUGGCGGGCAUGCCUGUCCGAGCGUCAUUUCAACCCUCGGGCCCCCCUCUGCGGGCGGCCCGGCGUUGGGGCUCAGGCGCCGUCUCUGCUCGGCGCCUGUCCCCUAAAUGCAGUGGCGGCCUCGCCGCUGCCUCCUCCGCGUAGUAGCACAAACCUCGCGGCUGGAAGGCGGCGCGGCCACGCCGUAAAACCCCCCAACUUUACCAAGGUUGACCUCGGAUCAGGUAGGGAUACCCGCUGAACUUAAGCAUAUCAAUAAGCGGAGGA
This 360-nucleotide unclassified non-coding RNA is filed under the name soil metagenome. RNAcentral's name for it is "partial contains 5.8S ribosomal RNA, internal transcribed spacer 2, and large subunit ribosomal RNA". The stretch from base 1 to 120 matches the Rfam family "5.8S ribosomal RNA", at positions 35 to 154 of the family's 154-position model. The record is from RNAcentral.